AUACAGAGGGUGCAAGCGUUAUUCGGAAUUACAGGGCGUAAAGCGCGCGUCGGCGGAUGAUUAAGUCAGUUGUGAAAGCCCUGGGCUCAACCUAGGAACUGCAUCUGAUACUGGUCGUCUAGAGUUUAAGAGAGGGAAGUGGAAUUCCAGGUGUAGCAGUGAAAUGCGUAGAUAUCUCGAGGAACAUCAGUGGCGAAGGCGACUUCCUGGCUUAAAACUGACGCUGAGGUGCGAAAGCGUGGGUAGCGAACGGGAUUAGAAACCCGAGUAGUCC
Molecule: ribosomal RNA, 274 nt
Filed under: uncultured bacterium
Lineage: Bacteria
Description: partial 16S ribosomal RNA
Rfam family: Bacterial small subunit ribosomal RNA
Source: RNAcentral